UAGAAGGCUCGUUAUAGGAUGCUCCAUUUUUUAGCCUCAGGGGGCUCACACCUCUAGAAGAAGAAGAAGAGGUUGGCACUGCAUUAUAAACCUUGUUCGGUGAAGCAGGACGAAUAAAAGAUGAUGUGCCGUCCAAUGGUGAUUUUCUCGGCACGACAAGUUUGGGAGAGGAAACGACGAUCGUUGUCGGUUUGGCUUUGUUGACGGUGAUCCAGAACAACUCCCCCUGAAAAGACACGGAUAGGCUUCUUGUUAUCGCGGAAGUUGGAAGCAUUUUGCCAGACGACGACGUUGUCGUGCGGGUGGUGCCACCAGUGCCGGGUCAUCUUCGCUCCACCGACUGUGAUCGUUUGGGUGUGAAUGGCAACAACGACCGAGGAUACGAAGAGAAGGACGAUGAGGUGUAACGAGGCACAAGGUUUUUGGGAGUGGAGAUUGCAGCUUCUACCAUUGUGGUCCUGAUAGUGUCAUGAAGCGUUGAGCGAGGAGUUUCUGAAUUGGGCUAUGGGAAAAGGAAGAAGAAAAUUAGUGAAUUGAAAAUGAAGAAAAUGCUAAAUGUGAAGGAUGUUCUGACCGUUACGGUGGAAUGCGGAAACCCAGGUUUUUGAGUGUAAUUGUGGCAUUAUAAGUAAGGUUUAAACCCUCAUUUGGUUUUGUGUGUCAAUCUCAAGUGGGUCAUCUUUUUUUUUCGGUCUCAAUCAGGUCCAAAAACUUGUAAAAAUGAGUCAAUUAAACCCUUUCCGUUAAGUUUUGACUGACCGCGUUAAAAUUUGCUUACGUCUUAUAUUACGUGGAAUUUAUUAUUUAAUUUAUU
Molecule: long non-coding RNA, 814 nt
Filed under: Vigna radiata
Lineage: Eukaryota; Viridiplantae; Streptophyta; Magnoliopsida; Fabales; Fabaceae
Description: long non-coding RNA (VRAD_LNC005651)
Source: RNAcentral